Lemur catta (Ring-tailed lemur) is the source of this 800-nucleotide RNA transcript. It is a transcript of the gene named isopentenyl-diphosphate Delta-isomerase 1-like, with no coding region annotated. The transcript has a single exon. The record is from RefSeq and is a predicted model, not a curated record. NCBI's taxonomy places the organism in Eukaryota, Metazoa, Chordata, Mammalia, Primates, Lemuridae.
UGUCUGGGCCCAGAGGCUGCUCAGUGUUCUAGGUCAGAUCAGACAUUUUGUAACAGUGGCCUGAGAUAAAUACCAACCAACUCAGUAAGCAACAGGUUCGAAUCUUGGCAGAGAUGUAUAUCCUUACUGAUGAAAAUGAAAAUAAAAUUGGGGCUGAGACCAAGAAGAAUUGUCACUUGAAUGAAAACAUUAAGAAAGGGUUAUUGCAUCUGGCUUUUAGUGUCUUCUUAUUCAACACCGAAAAUAAGCUCCUGCUACAGCAGAGGUCAGAUGCUAAGAUUAGCUUUCCAGAUUGUUUUACCAAUACAUGUUGCAGCCACUGGUUACGUAAUCCAGGCGAGCUUGAGGAAAACGAUGCCCUUGGAGUAUGGGGAGCAGCACAGAGGUCUAAAAUUCCCCUGGAAGAGCUUCCCCCAGAAGAAAUUAAUUAUUUGACACAAAUUCACUAGAAGGCCCAGUCUGACAGUGUCUGGGGUGAACAUGAAAUUGAUUACAUUCUGUUUGUGAGGAAAAAUGUGAUGUGGAAUCCGCCUCCCAAUGAGGUUAAAAGCUAUUGUUAUGUGUCAAAGGAAGAACUAGAAGAACCUCUGAAAAAAGCUACCAGUGGUGAAAUUAAGAAGACACUUUGGUUUAAAAUUAUUGUAGAGACUUUUCUCUUUAAAUGGUGGGAUAACUUAAAUCAUUUGAGCCAGUUUGUUGACCACAAGAAAAUACCUAGAGUGUGAAGGUAGAGGUGAACCAUUACUGCAGAAUUUCUCUGCUUAGUAAACUUAGAAUGACUUUUAAAAAAAAUUUGGUUC